RNAcentral lists this ribosomal RNA (253 nucleotides) under uncultured bacterium. RNAcentral describes it as "partial 16S ribosomal RNA". It matches the Rfam family "Bacterial small subunit ribosomal RNA", at positions 524 to 776 of the family's 1533-position model. The record is from RNAcentral.
UACGUAGGGUGCAAGCGUUGUCCGGAAUUAUUGGGCGUAAAGAGCUCGUAGGCGGUUUGUCGCGUCUGCUGUGAAAAUCCAGGGCUUAACCCUGGACCUGCAGUGGGUACGGGCAGACUAGAGUGCGGUAGGGGAGAUCGGAAUUCCUGGUGUAGCGGUGAAAUGCGCAGAUAUCAGGAGGAACACCGGUGGCGAAGGCGGAUCUCUGGGCCGUAACUGACGCUGAGGAGCGAAAGCGUGGGGAGCGAUCCGG